Molecule: long non-coding RNA, 3487 nt
Organism: Canis lupus familiaris (dog)
Lineage: Eukaryota; Metazoa; Chordata; Mammalia; Carnivora; Canidae
Exons: 3
Source: RefSeq, a predicted model, not a curated record
AAACCAGCGACGCCAACGGCCCCUUCUGUCAACCAGCGGGACCAAGGGGAGGGAGCAAAGGAAAGCAGGAGCCUCCGCAGUUCCCGCAUCUGACCUCAGGUCCAGGGACCUUCAGAAGGAUUCUCUGAAUGUGUCCCGUGUCAUCCUGAGACGGGAGGAGGGCAGCUGAGGCCUGUGGACACCCGGGGUAGGAGUAGGCCACGAUGCCGUGUGGGCAGGGACACGGAGCUGUAGGAACCAGAGCCACCACGGAGAUGUCGGGGCGUCCUUAGCCAUCACUCUGAAAAGAGACCGCGUUGUCCUCCACUGUCCUGGGCGUCCCUGUUCUGCGCCCUGGCAGGGAGCCCUGGCAGUGCCUACAGACACCCCCCUCAGAAUCGUGUAUGAAGUUCUUUGACCUUAGAAGCCCAGGCCUUCAACGAUACAGAAUCUCAGGCCUGGAAGACACCCCAGAGACACCUUAUUUUGCCUUAUCUGGGAGAGACGGAGCUUGAAAGUGACGUUUCCACUUACCCAUCUACGCCCUGAGAAGUGUCCGCGUCCUUUCAUCUUCACUAUUCAACACAGGAGCCCCUGGCUGCAUGUGGUUACUUAGCGCUUGACAUGUGACUAGUGUGACGGAAGAACUGGAUCUUUAAUUCUACUUAAAUAGUCACGUGCGACUAGUGGCUUCUGUACAGGACAUCACAGCUUUAGAUGCAGUGGUUGCCGAGCAAACAACUUUUAAUCUCGAGCACAGAGUUUGUACCAAGGCUGUGGAAGGCCCAGACGGCAGUCUGGAGGGACAGGGAGUGGUCUGAGACCCUGUGGACGACCGGGAAGGCACAGAGGCUUGGCACGUUAAGGACAAGUUAGUGGUGCACGAGCAUGGCAUUCGGAGAAACGACGAGAAGACAUAUUUCAGGGCUCGAAAGAACCUAGCACCCAUCAAGUCCAGCGGUCCCCAAAGCUGGCCUCAGCCCAGGGAGACACUGCUGUCGUCAAACGGCCCGUAGAGGCAAGGGCUGGACAUUGGGGAGGGGUGUGCAAAGAAUGUACUUCUGGGCUCCAGGUGUAUGAGCCCCUCCCAAUUUAGCCCAUUUACAGGUGAGGCCCAGAGCAGGUGUGUGGCUCUUCCAACACCCCUGACCGUUUGGCGACUGCACCAGCACAUACGUUCCCCCAAGUUAUUAAUCCACUUUCCCCUCUAGAACAGCCUGGAAAUAACAUGCCACAGCGGUGGUGGUGGCGAGGGCGGGGGAGCAUCCUGCCAACAUCAGAGGAAGAGCUAAAUACCAAGCAAAAGCUCAAGGGAAAAAGUAAAAGGAGGUGAGGGGAGUGGGGGGUGGCUGGUCCCCAGGCAGAGGACCUGGAGCACCGUGCGCAAACCUGAGAGCAUGCGGAGGCCGGAAUGUCACAGAUCAGACUAAUUCGAUCCAGAUCUGGGAAAUUAUUGCCCUGAGUGUAUCCUUGCAGCCCCUGCUUCCUCCUCCCUCCCUCCCUCGCAAGGCUGGGGGGCUGGUCCUGACGCCUGAGGUUAGAGAAAUUCAGUGGGAAGAUUUGGAGACUCAGAGCCAAGCAGAUCAUUACAACUCUUGUGCUCCCAGCACAGAAGUGAGGGUAGUUGUGUUUUGUAUUUAAGGAAGAAAAAAAAAAGCCUGUGUGGCCCUGAAGGAAAGAACAUUUUAGGUCAAGUUUAGGAAAAACUUGCUAAAACUCAGAGCCAUUCCUCUGAUGAUCUGGGAACUUCCCUCCCUGCCAUGUUCAGAUCGUGCCUUUUUUUUUUUUUUUUUUUUUUUUUGGUCACGGCAGUGCAGCAGAAAGGACCAUUUGCAGAACAAAUUCAGGUCAAUCUUUUGGGUUGUCCGCCUGGCUUCUGUGCUUUACGAGAUUUGCUCAGUGACUAGCAGGCCAGCGGUGUGCCGGCCCCUUCCCGGGCGAGUAGCCCCAAGCCUCACUCUAAUACUCUAAUCAGGAGCCGGAGCCUUCUCUAACCCUGAUUCCUCGGUGCUUCAGGAGUGCAGGGCCGGGAUCUCGGCCUGGUGACGUCCCGGGGGCUGGAAUUUCUGGAUGGCUUUUCCCACUGCGGGGAUUCAAGCAAACCAUUGUCAUUCUUCCCUCUCUAACAAGAGAAAGAGAAAUCCCAGCCCUGAGAGCAUUAGUUCUGGCUCAAGGACAUGGGUUUUCUUUCCUGGAAACAGGGACUGGCUCAGCGAGACGCCCCCUGAGCUGUGCUUUGUCCUGCCAGGACACCCGCGCUGGCCAGCUGCAGAGCAAAGGGGCUGCUUGGGAGGGGGAGUCCUGAUGCCCCCCCCCAGACACAAACCCUUCAUUAUUUAAAAGUUAUUCAGCAUCAGGGAAGAUUUUUCCCAGGAUAACGGCUUAGAUAACUUCAUUAAUAGGAGGAUUUGCAGGAAUCAGAGCAUUGAGCCAAGUAUGAGUUACGUAGCCUAACGGAGGAAAUAGGGAAACAAGCGGGGUGAGGAUCCCCACUGUUGGGAGUCUGCAACCGGCGGCGGGGUGAGCCCCCUUGCCCUGGCCUCCCUCCCACCCAGGUCCUCACAAGCACCUCAGCACCCAGUCGGCCCAGGGCUCCUCCGGAAAGCCCGGCUGUGACAGCGGUGCCUGGGGCCAGGCUGGGGUGUGACGCGGAACCCCUCUCCCGGGGCCUUGCCGUGACCAUUCGUCUCCGUGGUUUCUCCUAAGAGCCAGGGUUGGCCGCAGGUACCCUGCGGCGGCAGGUCCCCAAGGGCAGGCUGCAGCCCCCUGGCAGCUCACCCCUAUUGCAGGUGGCCCGCGAGGCAAAGCCAGGUGCCCGAGGAUGUUGAGAUGCUCUCUACCUCUUUUCACCCACUGACAUUUGCAUCGAUGACCUAAAAGCAACAGUGGAGAAAGGCCCCAGUGCCUUAGCACAAAUCAAGGCAACGGCAGCAAACCAUCCCCAGGGGCACUUCAGGAUCCCAGGGUCCUGGGAUGGAGCCCCGCGUCGGGCUCCCUGCUCAGCCGGCUUCUCCCUCUGCAUCUGCCACCGCCCACCUACUUAUGCUCUCGCUCGCUCUGUGUGUCAAAUAAAUAGGUAAAUAAAAUCUAAAAAAAAAAAGAGAGAGAGAGAGAGAGAAUGCCCUUGAGGAACCAUACAAAAUACUCACUUUACUAAAUCUCACCUGGAGGUACCGGCCUUCUUAGUGGUCUAUGUCAUGGAGUGGGAAAUACACGUCUAAAGCCCCUGCUGUCUCCCAGGGUCCCCUGUCUGUCCCAAGGGAAAGCACGUGCGCAAUUGUCUGAGUUACGAACUAAACUAGCUGCCCGUCGUAGAGCACGACUCCUACCUAAAAGAAUGGCUGAGAGGCCAACGACAGGCUCUCAGACUCGGAUCUCUGGCAGACUUUUUCGCAAAGUUGGCAAGUGAGCCUGUCACUUCAAAGAAAACAACCGACUGCUUGUUGCCAGUGGUAGAAAUGAAGACUUCAGGCAAAAAAAAAAAAAAAAAAAACUUUGGAAAACUUGU